This is an RNA transcript of Populus euphratica (Euphrates poplar), 2182 nucleotides long. RefSeq lists it as uncharacterized. The record is from RefSeq and is a predicted model, not a curated record. Lineage: Eukaryota; Viridiplantae; Streptophyta; Magnoliopsida; Malpighiales; Salicaceae. The transcript has 4 exons.
GUAUUGUUGUCACUUUCAAAGUUAAUCACUUUAUUAGGCGUUAGCGUCGCUUUCAAAGUUAAAAAACGAGCGUGGUGGUCCCGGCAGCUCUCGCUAAGAUCCUUAUGUGUUUUGGUCGUAUUUGUAUUGCGAGUCGAAGUCCUUUUGUGAUUUACCUGUUUUUCGACUCUCCGAAGUCGAAGUCGAAGUCACACCCCGAUGCACGAAGGGUUUCUUCUCCUGUUUUAAAUCUGCUGUUUAUUUGAUGUGCUGUUCGAAAUUUUCUCUAUAUUCCAGGUUGAAGGUGUGGUGGUUAUCCUUUUGAUUGAUUUAGUUUGUUGUUGGGUGUUUGGUUUUCUGGUCUGUUUGGAUCUGUAACAGAUCGCCCUGGCUCGAUGAAAAAAGAGAGGAGAUGCCAUGAAUUAAUUUGAUUAUUUGAUGUGUUGUUGAGAAAUUCAGUUGAUAAAAAACUGACAAAAGUCCUCUUCUCCCUCGCCUAGUCUGGGUUUUUUAUUUUUAAUCUCAGAUAACAACUCUCACCUUGUAAAGGGUGAUAUUUUCGCGUCUCUCAUCUCACACCACAAAGGUUCUAGAUUUGUUAUUUUCAUGGGAGUUAUUGGCAAAAACAAUAAUACAUAUUUGGUUCUCUCAAUGUUUUCGUCUCUCUCAUCUCACACCAUAAUACAUGUUUAUCUUUAUCUGUUUUUUUAUGGAUCAUCAUGGCCUCAGAACUCCAGGAGGUCUUUUUCCUGCUUUCUCAUCUACCGCUCAGACUCACACCCCAAAGGAGGACUUGUUCUAGAUUUGUAAUUUUCAUGGGAGUUAUUGGCAAGAUACAUAUGAGUAUGUUUAUCCUCUUAAUGAUUUGAUUUUUUAGUUGACUUUCUCGAGUUCUUCUGUUUGUGCUGAAAAAAAAAAUACAGCCUUUUGGAUGUCAAUUCAGAUAAGUUGUUAGAUCUUUGGAAUUGUGAUCUCCAAUCUCUUUGUUGAUCUUCAGCUUUUGAAUCAGCACAGGCAUAAAAUUCAUGAAUUUGACAGAUGAAGUUUUGACUAAUUGAUUCUUUUUUCUUUUUUCUUUUUCUCUUGAAUUUAUAAAGAUGGUGGAUAAAACAUUUGAUGAUGGCUAAAGAUACCAGGUGGGUGGAAACUCUGUACCAUAGCAUGUCCUUGUGACAGGAACUUCUGAAUAAUACUGCAACCUCAUGUUGAUGAAUCUGCAAGGAAGCUUCUUGAAGAUAAAUUUUCUUUAGGACCAGUGGUUCAGAAACUCUGCGCUUUUGCUUGGACAGUUACUGGACAAAAUGCUUUCAAUCACCAUUCCCUAUCCAUUGCCUGAUCUAAAAGAUGCAAGAUGAUUGAUGAUGGCUAAAGAUACUAUGAGGGUGGAAACUCUGUGCUAUAGCGUGUCCUUGUGCCAGGAAAUCACCUUCCCCUAUCCAUUGCCAGAUCUAAAGAUUCAAGAACUUAUUUAAAAAAAAAGAAGCAGCAGGUUAAAAUGAGAUUCUCAUCACAAAUUAUGAUCUCUCCUUUAUCAGGGGAAUGGACAGACAUGGUUGGUUUUUCUCUGCUAUUGGAGCACUGGCUGCCAUUAUCCAAUUGAAAUCUGAAACUCUCUCUCCAUCUAGGACACACGAUGCUAUCAUAACCAUGUGCGUUGUUGCUGUGCUCCUCCAUAUUGUAAGUAGUGCAUGGGAAGUUAAACUUGCAGCUGGUCGCUUCCACUCAAUUGCUGCCGGCGCAAGUCUUCUGGCCAGAGCUCUCGCCAUUGCUCUGCUACUCAUAAUCUGCGUCCCAAAAAUUUGGUGGUUUCUGCUUUCCGCAUGUGUGAUGUUCUUCAUAUGGGUAACAUAUACUUUACGUGAGGAAUUUUCACAAUUGUGUGAAUCACUGUAUAAUGCAGUUCGCCUUAGUCAACGCCGCGGCCACAGCCAAGCCCAAGAGCCAAAUGAGUUGCCAGUGUAACCAUACCGAGCCAUUGAAGAGAAUCAGUGUUUCUCACUGGUCGACGUCUAUAUCCAAGAGAAUCAUUUGUACGGUUGAUGGAAGACUGUUGUCUAUAUAUAUAUAUAAUUGCGUGGUGUGAUUGAAAUUACAAGUGCUAUUUUUACUAGUAUGAGCGCAACUUGGUAACGUUAUCUGUAAUAUAUUGUUUGAAUACUUGCUUCAAGAAAAAGAAAAUAAUCCAAAAUGCCUAUUUAAAGUA